ACAUUGAGUGGUCACAGGAGUCCAAUCAUUCGAGUCAUUUUCCAUCCUGUGUUCAGUGUUAUGGUCUCUGCUUCAGAGGAUGCUACAGUUAAGGUGUGGGAUUAUGAGACUGGAGAUUUUGAAAGAACUCUUAAAGGAAGGACAUAGAGACUCUGUACAGGACAUUUCAUUUGACCACAGUGGCAAGUUUCUGGCUUCCUGUUCUGCAGCUAUGACCAUUAAACCAUGGGAUUUUCAGGACUUUGAAUGCAUCAGAACCAUGCAUAGUCAUGGUUCCCCAUGACCAUAAUGUUUCCUCAGUAGUCAUCAUGGCCAGUGGAGAUCAUAUAGUGUCCGCCUCAAGGGAUAAAACUAUAAAAAUGUGGGAAGUGCAAACUGGCUACUGUGUGAAGAUGUUCACAGGACAGAGAGAAUGGGUACAUAUUGUACAACCAAAUCAAGAUGGCACUCUGAUAGCCAGCUGUUCCAAUGACCAGACUGUGCGUGUAUGGGUUGUAGCAACAAUGCAAUGCAAGGGUGAGCUCCGAGAACAUGAGCAUGUGGUAGAAUGCAUUUCCUGGGCUCCAGAAAGCUCAUAUUCCUCCAUCUCUGAAGCAACAGGCUCUGAGACUAAAAAAUAGUGGUAAAUCUGGGCCAUUCUUGCUGUCUGGAUCCAGGGACAAGACUAUUAAGAUGUGGGAUGUCAGUACCGGCAUGUGCCUCAUGACCCUCGUGGGUCAUGGUAACUGGGUACGUGAAGUUCUGUUCAGUUCUGGGGGGAAAUUUAUUUUGAGUUGUGCUGAUGACAAGACCCUACACGUAUGGGAUUACAAGAACAGGCAAUGCAUGAAGACCCUCAAUGCGUAUGAACACUUUGUUACCUCAUUGGAUUUCCACAAGACAGCACCCUAUGUGGUCACUGGCAGCGUGGCUCAAACAGUAAAAGUGUGGGAGUGCC
Molecule: long non-coding RNA, 937 nt
Filed under: Homo sapiens (human)
Lineage: Eukaryota; Metazoa; Chordata; Mammalia; Primates; Hominidae
Description: non-protein coding lnc-RGPD2-1:1
Source: RNAcentral